GCGACUAAAUGGAUUCACAUGCUUCCAAUCUAUGAACUUUGGAGGAAUCCAGCUUGUGUGGAUGAGAAUGAGAAGUGUAGUGCGUGGGCAAAUGCAGGUGAGUGUGAAAAGAAUCCGGGUUAUAUGAAGGGUUCUAAGAAUGAACUUGGAUACUGUAGGAUGAGUUGCAAAGUUUGCUCUCCUCCCUCAUAAAAGAAAAUUAUGCUUCUUUUACAAUAUACACUAAUCAGAAGCAAGAGUUCUUUCUUCUUACACAGAUACACAUGUAAAUGACUUCGAGAGGUGUCAUAUAUAUAUAACUAUUGAAUCA
This 310-nucleotide unclassified non-coding RNA is filed under the name Hevea brasiliensis (rubber tree). The record is from RNAcentral. Lineage: Eukaryota; Viridiplantae; Streptophyta; Magnoliopsida; Malpighiales; Euphorbiaceae.